This 530-nucleotide ribosomal RNA is filed under the name Pseudomonas sp. SW751. RNAcentral's name for it is "partial 16S ribosomal RNA". The record is from RNAcentral. Lineage: Bacteria; Pseudomonadati; Pseudomonadota; Gammaproteobacteria; Pseudomonadales; Pseudomonadaceae.
CUCCCAUGGUGGUGACGACGCGGUGUGUUCAAGGCCCGGGAACGACAUUCACCGCGACAUUCUGAUUCUACGAUUACUAGCGAUUCCUUACUUCACGCAGUCGAGUUGCAGACUGCGAUCCGGACUACGAUUGGUUUUAUGGGAUUAGCUCCACCUCGCGGCUUGGCAACCCUCUGUACCGACCAUUGUAGCACGUGUGUAGCCCAGGCCGUAAGGUCCAUGAUGACUUGACGUCAUCCCCACCUUCCUCCGGUUUGUCACCGGCAGNCUCCUUAGAGUGCCCACCAUAACGUGCUGGUAACUAAGGACAAGGGUUGCGCUCGUUACGGGACUUAACCCAACAUCUCACGACACGAGCUGACGACUGCCAUGCAGCACCUGUCUCAAUGUUCCCGAAGGCACCAAUCUAUCUCUAGAAAGUUCAUUGGAUGUCAAGGCCUGGUAAGGUUCUUCGCGUUGCUUCAAAUUAAACCACAUGCUCCACCGCUUGUGCGGACCCCCGUUAAUUCAUUUGAGUUUUAACCUUGCGG